Molecule: ribosomal RNA, 497 nt
Filed under: uncultured bacterium
Lineage: Bacteria
Description: partial 16S ribosomal RNA
Rfam family: Bacterial small subunit ribosomal RNA
Source: RNAcentral
GAUGAACGCUGGCGGCGUGCCUAAUACAUGCAAGUCGAGCGAACAGACGAGGAGCUUGCUCCUCUGACGUUAGCGGCGGACGGGUGAGUAACACGUGGAUAACCUACCUAUAAGACUGGGAUAACUUCGGGAAACCGGAGCUAAUACCGGAUAAUAUAUUGAACCGCAUGGUUCAAUAGUGAAAGACGGUUUUGCUGUCACUUAUAGAUGGAUCCGCGCCGCAUUAGCUAGUUGGUAAGGUAACGGCUUACCAAGGCAACGAUGCGUAGCCGACCUGAGAGGGUGAUCGGCCACACUGGAACUGAGACACGGUCCAGACUCCUACGGGAGGCAGCAGUAGGGAAUCUUCCGCAAUGGGCGAAAGCUUGACGGAGCAACGCCGCGUGAGUGAUGAAGGUCUUCGGAUCGUAAAACUCCGUUAUUAGGGAAGAACAAAUGUGUAAGUAACUAUGCACGUCUUGACGGUACCUAAUCAGAAAGCCACGGCUAACUACGUG